Triplophysa rosa is the source of this 2941-nucleotide long non-coding RNA. RefSeq lists it as uncharacterized. Lineage: Eukaryota; Metazoa; Chordata; Actinopteri; Cypriniformes; Nemacheilidae. The record is from RefSeq and is a predicted model, not a curated record. The transcript has 4 exons.
AGGUCCUAUUUUGUUUUAUGGAGUGUCCAACAACAAGUUUACGUACAUACUGUACAAGGUGUAAAACACUAUUAUUUUGUUAUAACAGUCAGUUAUUAUUACAUUCUUCUUGACUGACUCUCAAAUGAUCCAUUCGGCAAAUCAUCUGUCUAAUCCCCUCCUUUCCGCCAGCCUACUCUGAUGUGAUUGGUCAGAUGGUCUAGUCUGCUGUGAUUGGUCCACCGCGAACGAGACUCACGAGCUACAGUGUUUGGGGGAGAAGAGUGACGUUUUCGUGGGCAGUCCUAGCUAAACGCGGGGACUAUAUGUAGUGACGUAAAUCCGCGGCAGUUCGCGAAUCGGACAGGGCACGACUCGCUUGUGUGAUUAAGAGUCGACGCCCUUUCUUCCAAGCAAAUAACUUUGUUAUUCAUUCACCUUCGGCUUUACAUCUUGGCAGACUAUUCACACACGGCAACAUUACACACAUCUCGUAAUACUCUUUAAAAGUAUUAGGCUAUAGAGUACUUGAGAAAUUUAUCAAAUCUUGCUCUGCAAACGAACGACGUCUUGUGGUGCCAUCCCAAAAAGCUGUUCAAGAGGACUAAGAGACGUGAUGAUGGAGAUAAAAACAACGCCUUUAAGAACAUUGUUAGUUGUGUGUUUUUCUGGUCUUGGAUUUGCGAAUGUACUCAUAAAGCAAUCUUGUUUGCAAGAGAAACAUGAAGUAGGUGCUUCAGCAAUGCUCUACUGCAACAUCACUAGCGAUACUGAAGUCUUGACAAGCUGCGAAAUGGAGUGGGAAAUUUGGAAUGAAAUGAAUGACAGUGUCAAGGAGAUCUCGAAAAUACCAAAAUAUCACAACAGAGUCAUGGUCAUGUCCCAUGGCACCCUCAGCAGCUCAUUGACCAUACGAGAUCUGAAGGUCAAUGACACUGAGGAGAUACUUUGCACAGCAAUAUGUUUUGUUAAUGGGGACCUCAAAGUCAUCAGCAGUGAUGGGACAAUGCUUAAGAUAACCGAAAAAAGCAACAAGGAACAAGAUCAGAAGCCUGAAUUACUGUGGUUGAAAUAUCUAAUUUUCUCCAUUAAUUGUCUAAUUUUAACAGUUUCACUGGUAAUCUUUAUCUUGAUUAUUCGUAAAAAGAGGCGAAAAUGUAAAAAGGCGAAGUCAGUGAAGCUUUGAAAGGAUGCUUCACUGGGCUCGAAGUUAAAACUACUUGAAAUUGGUUGCAUGCUUCCUGAUUAGGCUUUAUAUAUUCCAUAAAAGUCAAAAUGCUUACAGUACACAUAAUGGUGACUUGGUUCAAUGAAUAAAUAAAUGUAGCUUAAUUCUUAAAUCAACUGUACAGCACAGCAUAAUCCAUGUAAAAGCAUACAAAAUAAUAAAGCUGUCUUUGACAUUAAACCCUGAUGUACUAUUACAAACCUGUUCAUUAUAACUUUAAUACUUUCAACUAAAUAUCUUGGGUAAGAGAAACUUACCAAUGUCUUGUUUCGACAGUUUCAAAUUUUUCGACAGAAAUGAAAGUGAAAUUGCAGUAACUUGCUAUAAAGCAAGGAAAAGAAGGCUAUCAGGUUACAUAUUUGGGUAAUAGAUAAAUAUACCAUACAUGUGUCCCCUGGUGUGAUAUAGCAAAAUUGAAAAUAAAAACAGGUUAAUAAUAUUUUAAAUAAUAAAAUAUAUUAUAAAAAAUAAAAAGUGUUCUUCUAUGGCAUUGCUGUGAAGAACCUUUUAAGCACCCUUUAUUUUUAAGAGUGAAUAGAAGAACCAAUUUUGGUUCCAUCAGUCUCUUUCCAUUCAGUCUCUUUCUUAACUUUUUAUAAUCUGAAGAACCUUUAUUUGUCACAAAGAACCUUUUGUGAAACAGAAAGGUUCUUCAGAUGUUAAAGGUGGAACUAUUCUUCUAGGCAUCGUGAAGCACCUUUAUUUUUAAGAGUGUAACAAACACAAAAUAAAUUUUAUACAACAUCUAAACCAUGUCUACUUAACAGAGCACUAAUUGUGCUUUUUACCCCCAACAAACCACCACCUUAUAAACCAAGUCUGCUUUUGCCUUUCAUUAGUUCAGGAAUGCAAACAGAUGCUCUAUUGUGACCUCAUUUCUGUUAAUAUCAAAAUGUUUUUUACCACAUCAAAAAAUAGCUGCUUAACCACUGAAUUGAGCUAACAUUGCUAUAUGAUGAGUUAUUAAUCCAGUAAAUUAAAGUUUUUUUUUAGAACAUUUUACAAUGAAAGCAUUUGUUUUUUGAGCAACAAUCAUUUGUAUACGUUCACUUUGCAUUACUGUAGGAACAAUUACACUUACCACUUCAUGAAUUGUUCUCACGUGGCUCUAAACACAAUAACGUUUUUAGUGUUUCUCUCAGUUGGUUAGAUCACCUUCAUGACAUCUGUAGUUGUUUUAUGAUGUAUGCUUGUUCUUGAGAGGAAAUAUUAACACAGUUAUUCUUGUGAAAGAGGAUUCUGCUACCAACAUCCCAUGCUAACUGAUGUUGUGGUGGGUGUCUGUCCACCACAGCAUACAAAGACCCUGUGCUUUUAUCAGAUUGUUUUUACAGUAGCUAUACAAAACAAGUUCAGCAGACUCUGAAGUUAUGCCUGCUGUACAAUUUAAAAUCUGGCAGAUGUAUUUGCACCUUCUCUAAAGGGCACAGUACAGCAAUCUGAAUAAAUUGCCUAAGUGACCAGACAAAAGUACUGUUUUCUUUUCAGUGCAAACACAGGCAAAGAACGUCUAAAUUACCUCCAUUUUCUGGAAGCAUUUUGUGAUCAAAUCUGUCAUUUUAUGUUUUCAGGAAACAUGGGGGUUGGGCCACCGAUUCAAGAGAUAAAACAUUCCUGUCACAAACACAUGUCUGAUCUUGCAUUUACUGUACCCACAGUGACAGAUCCUCACUUGAAUUUAUAAUUGUAUCACACUUGCCUAUUUCUUAUUUUAUAAUAAAUAUACCUUACAGU